Molecule: long non-coding RNA, 10284 nt
Organism: Schistocerca gregaria
Lineage: Eukaryota; Metazoa; Arthropoda; Insecta; Orthoptera; Acrididae
Exons: 2
Source: RefSeq, a predicted model, not a curated record
GGAGUAAAUAAUUUAUUCAUUCAAUUUAGGGUGUUCUCACACCAUAAUUUAUUACAAAAUAUGCACUCAGUUUAUAUUUAUCUUACACAAAAUAACUGGGAAGCUACAUGGCACUACUAAUACAUAUAAAAAAAAACAUCUGGUUCCAAAUCUGUAUAGUAAAUUUAAAUUUCUUUCUGGAGUAGUUCCAGGAAAAUUAAUUCAUAAAACAUUAUAGUUCAUUGAAAUUGAAAAACAAUACCAUAAAUUUUUUAUUCUUUAUAAUGUUAACAAAAAUAAAGAGAAUAUAUUUUGUUUUAAUUGCAAUAAAAAAGUUUCUAACUGCUCAGUAUUUAAUAAACAACACAAAAAGGGUACAACAAAUGUUAAAUAUGGUGACACAUGAAACUCACUCUGAAUAUCUGUUUAGCACUAUAUUUGAUUUUUUUUCUACAUUACAGACACCUUACAGGCAUAUUUUGGUGUUCAUCACAAAACUCACAAAAAUGUAAGUUGUUUUAUAACAGGAUACUUGUUACUCAACUUCCAAUGAGUCAAUGGGUAAUGAGUGUAAUAAAGUAAAAUAAAAGUAGAUCAUUGACAUCUUAGGCAAGCAUCACCAGUCAAAAUCAGAAAGAAAUGUAAAUCAGUGAUAUAUAUUAGUUUGUUAUUGCUUCCAUUAAUAUUUUUGAAAAUAAGCAGAUAGUCUAUAUAGUGAAGGAAGAUUAACUUUGUUUUGCACUGCACAAUGACAUCAUUAAAAGUGCUUUGGUGUUUCUUACUUGCUGCUGGCACUUAAUCUUCAAUUUUAAUGCAUUAAUUGUAUUUGAACAUAUUUACAAAAAGAAAUGAGCCUUAUUAAAAGAUUUGGGAUUUGCUUUAGCAGAAAUAGCAAAAUAUUAUUUGAGAAAUGACAAAUGUAGCAAUUCGAAUAAUAUGGUUUGUAUUUGAAGCAUUAGUACACAUAAGAUCUGGGCCUCUCAAAUUCCUAUUUUCUCCUAUUUAUUCAUGAAUCGCGGCAUCUUUUCAUGGUACUACACAUAGGAAUAGCUCCAGAACAUUGACUGAGGUGGUGAAUAUCAAGCAAGCUUUCCACCAAUAAAGUUAUUAUGAUAGUUUAUGAAGAAUUUGUAGAAAGGACAGAGAUUAAAACCUUGACAUUCUUGGUAAUUUUUGUUAUAUAGACAUUGUUCCUAUGGUCUAAGGCAUUUUUCUAAGCCCUGCAUUUCAUCUUCUAAUACAUUCUUGAAAGCCUAUGUUGUAUGGUAAACCUUCAACAAUUUCUCCUACAGUUCAUCAACAGGAUAUUUCUUCAGUUUAAAUACUGUUAGUCAAUGCAUUAUUUAAGUACGUUAGUAUUCACAGCAAUGUGAAACAUUGAAGUCUUGUAAUGAUUACAAACAUUUGAGAGAAAUAUGUUAGACAACAAAAUCUGGAAAAUUAUUCUCAAGUAACAAAAAAUAAAAUAAAAUACAAGUUAAAAUAAAAACUAGAGAUUUGUAAUUUUCAUGUUGUUUUACAGCUGAAAACCAUAACUUAUAUCACCCUAGUGUAAAGAAAUUGCAAUAAUGUAACAGUUUUUGCAGUUUUCAUAUUUUUAAAAUUAGAUGUAGAUGACAGGAGAGUAUGAAAUAUUACUAAGACGUGAAAUCCUCUGUCUUUUACUUGACUUUUCUUCUCUCCCCUUAUUCUUUGUUUUUGUCUGUAUAAUCUUAUUAUCCAUCACUAACAAGUGACAUAUUUCUGUUUUUUAAGACAACUCUUAAAUGCAACCUGUUUUCUUGCUUUCACGUAGUAUUAUUAAAAGGAUUUUCCCUUUGUUACAAGGUGUCACAGCUGAGGCUGAGGUUAGUAUUUUAUACAGGGAAGUAAUAUGUAAUUUAUAACAAAACAUCAAUUUAUCAGUUGAACUUAAAAUAUGUAAUUACAGUGUAUCUUGCUCAUUGGAAGCAAAGUAAUUGUACAUGUAAUUAUGUUCACUUUCUUAAUAAAUACAUAUGAACAAUUUUUGGCAGUGACUUUCCGUAGAUAAUGAAUAUCAAUUUAAGCAAUAACUAAAUUAAUUUUGUAUUCAAACUGGCAGCAUUGCUUCCCUCUAGUCUAUACAUAUGUAUAAAAAUGUUAGAACACACAAAUAAUUAACAAUAUGAAACACCAUUCACAUUAAUAGGUAAUUGCACAUAGAUUUUCUAUAAAGAGAAACAAUGGGUUAGUUGAAAUCAGUUUAUCAGUGCUUUCACACUUAUUAAGACAGAAACCCUCAUAUGCAUAUUUCACAAUGACAUUACAAAAUUUAACACACUGUAUUAUCAGCAUUGAUAGGCAUGAUUAAAAUAUAUUUAAAACAUUUUUGUUUAUUUAUUUAUUUAAUAAUAGUGUAUAUUAUACUGUUAAGUUGCUGCUAGAUUUUUUUCAGUAUGUUUCUAAACUGAACACUUACGUUAACUCAAGAGCACAUUAAGUGGACUCUCUGCAUGUGCUUAUAUCUUCAAGACACUUCAGCUACAUAAAGAAGUAGUUUAAGACUGAAAAUUCUGAAAAAUAAAUCUUUUAAAGAUUAUGAAAAUAUUUUAAUUGAACUUUUAUUAACACAAUAAAUGCUUUUUAACAUAAUCACGUUGUCACAAUUCAAAUAUAGUUUAUAUUUGAGAAGUAUGCAGUACCAUAAGUAGUCCUUUUAAGGACAUACUGAAAUUUACAGAAAAAUCUAAACUCUUUCAAUUAAGUUCAUGAACUUAUGACUAAAAUUUAGAUAAGGUAAACCAGUCUGUGUAAAUCUAAGAUAAAGUGCAUAGAGCAAAGAGAAGAAAACUUUCAGAAGUGCCUGUUAAGACCAGAGCUUAAGUUUUCACUUACCUCCAACUCACAUAGGGAAUUCUCUGCACAUAACAUACCUCUUAGCAGACAAGGUAAAGGGAAGUGAAGGAUGAAGAGAAGGAAGAUAAUGUGAAGCAAAAAAUAAUGAACAUUAAAGGAGAGAAAUGAUAAUGGUUGCAGUAACAUGUCUAUGGUUGUGUUAAUGUGUGAUAUUGUCACAGUAGCCAUUGCUUAUAAGAGAAUGCAACUGUGCCAUAUGAACUAAUGCACCUCUUCACAACGAAUUUCUUAAUCUCAGGAGAGUAUGAAACAUUACUAAGAUGAGAAAUCCUCUGUCUUUUACUUGACUUUUCUUCUCUCCCCUUUUUCUUUGUUGUGUUUGUAUAAUCUUAUUAUGCUUCACUAACAAGUAACAUAUUUCUGUAUUAUUCAUGUCUUCUUUUCCUGUCUGAAGUCCAAGGAAGAGAAUCUUUUUUUUUCUUAAAGCUCAAAACUGAGUUAUGCAUUUUGCACUUGGCUUGAACCUAUUGCAGCUUAAUAAAAAGCAUAACCAUCUUCCUCCUCUUUAUAACCUGUGUUAGUUCAUUUUGCACCUCAAGAGCCAGACAGUAUAAAUCACAUGACAUCUACAAGGUAGUUUUAAAUUAUCUUUUGAAAAGAGAAGGAAUUAUUUUGAUAUAAAUCUGCAGGCUUCCAUGGCAUUAAAAUUCUGUUGGGCAUAAUGCUGCAUUGUCUUAAAAAAAAUUUUAAAUGCUGAAAAACCAACAUUUCAGCCAUGUUUCAGUGCCAUUUUUCAGGGUUUAGACUAAUUAUCUGGGGAGAAGCAUGUGUCAGUACAUUGCAUUUACAAUUUAAUUACAAGACCAUUAACAUCAUAUUUCUUAGAUUUUAUUGGCAAUAAAACAUCACUGAUCAGUGUUUGGAAAGAGUGGUGUUAUAUGUAGCAGACUAUUGUGGAUUACAUAAAUUUAUGGUAAUUGGUAGCCUGCUAUGAAUCAGUGACAGAGUUUUGGGCUGAGCUAUGAAGUUCAGCAAGAAGCCCUAUAAAGAGAAUACAAUAAAAGAACAGCUCUCUAUGGUAUACUUGGCUGCUGUCAAGGGCAUCACUGACUGAGUAGGUAAGGUAUUUCACAGAGGAGACUUAAAACAAGUUUUCUAGAGUGGCUUCACAAGAUCCACAAUUUGGCAGUGUCCAUGAUUUAUGCAAUAAUAUUCUUCAAUGCUGCAGGUGUAUGAGAGAUAUGUUGUAAGUGUGGUGCUGCCUGCAUUGGGGAAUCUGGAAGGUCUAUUGGCACCCACACAGCACAGUAUGAGUGCUACGUUUGGUUGGGGUGGCACAAGACAAGACAUUGGCACUAACAGAGCUCCACUGGCAUUCUGGACAGGCUAUUCAUUUUCAAGAAUAAUGAAUGCUUGCAUGGUGGCUGUGGAUGUGCACUCACAAAAAUAAGAGAUCAGUAUGUAGUAAGAAGACAACAAUUAUAAAAAACAAAGAUUGCUACUCACCAUAUACCACAGACGCUGAACUGCAGGCAGGCACAACCAAAAGACUGCUAAACACACAAGCUUUUGGCCAGAAGGCCUUCUUGUGAAGUCUGUCUUUCUUCUGACGUAGGUAACACACACAAACACAGUUCACACACACAUUACCACUGUCAUUUUGUGUGUGUGUGUGUGUGUGUGUGUGUGUGUGUGUGUGUGUGUGUGUGUGUGCGUGUGUGUGUGUGUGUGUGUGUGUGUGUGAGAGAGAGAGAGAGAGAGAGAGAGAGAGAGAGAGAGAGAGAGAAGAGAGAGAGAGAGCUGCAUUUGCAUGAAUGUGUGUGUGUGUAUGUUGCCUGUUUCGGAAGACGGCCUUCUAGCCAAAUGCUUACAAGUUUAGUAGCCUUUUGUUGUGCCUGUCUGCAAUUCAACAUCUCUGGUACAUGGUGAGUAGCAAUCUUUCUUUUCGAAUUAAAUAAUCUUUCCUUUUCAAAAUAUUGUCAUUAUCCCAUCUUAGAUUUUCCAUUGCUUGAUAAGACUACUAUUUCUAUUCAAACAAGAGUUAUCAUGAAAUGUUUUGCUGAUAUAUGAAGCUUUUGCUGCAUGUUGUAACAUAAUACUGCUAUCAUAAGCCAUUUAGAAACAUGAAAUAACCCACUUUUGAGUCACCUUUCAAACUUUUAUCUUGAUACUGCUUCAGACAUCAAAACAACAUGCAGAAUAAUGUUCGCAGAACAAAACAAAAAGUUAAAACUAAAUUGUUUGGUUCAGCUCACUAAGACCAGUGGUUCAUUGUUAAAAACAUUAAUAUGCUUCUUGGUCACACUUGAGAAAAAAUUUAUUUCUUAAUGUUUUACACCACAUUUAGAUACUUUCUUCAGAGAUAGUUUAACACAGCAGGUGAAGGAGCUGUCAAAUGGACCAGUAUGUUUAGUGUGGAUCAGUGAUGAAAAUCCUUUAAAACGAGAUAAAUCUAUUUCAAAGAUUAUAAUAGUGCUAACACUCACUACAGAAUGAACUUUUUGAUAUGACAAAUGUUGUUUAUCAGCUGUGCAGGUAUGCACUUAUUACUGAAUGUUAUUAAAGUUCAAUUUAUGUCUCUAGAGAACAAAAUUUUGCUUUCACACUGCUGUCUUGCAUUUUAUUAUAAUGAUUAUUGGUAUUAAAUUAUAAUUAGUUCACAUGCUGCCUAUUGUUCAAGAAUAAUAUUCAUCAUUGGCUGUUGACUAAUUUUUAUCACUUACUCAUAUUGUUCUCCUUGGGCUCUCAGGAUACAUUUCGAUUACAAGCAUCACACAUCUUUGACAUUGUUCCUUUAGAAAGACUCCAAAAGACCUCAAAAUCACUCCUAUAGAAUUUUGCUUGAAAUAUUAGGAAUCAGGAGAUUAUGAGCCUGAUAAAUCAAAAUAAAACUGUGCUCAUUUGAAAGCAGAGCUAGAUUGUUAAGAAAGUGAAUGUACCCUCUUAGAUAUUGAUUUCUAGCAAAUAUUCACAUUAUAAGGAACAAAGCUGCAAAAUCAACAAAACCCCCAAAAAAACUGACUUGCAUGAAAUACUGUUAUUUUCUGCUACAAAAGGAAAAUAAGUGACUGAAUCAGAGCUAUCAAGUUAUGAAGAUACAUUGUAGACUAAAAAAAAGGACUUUCUAGUGCUUCUUGAAGAGCAGACAUGGAAAUGAAGAAUUGACAGUUUCUCAAGUUAUGAAGGGCAUGAUUUCACAAAUGUUUGGAACAUUCAAUUGCUAUUGUAAUUAAUAUUUCUAAAAAUGAAUAAGAAAGUAUCAAAGGAGAGAGGAAAUUUGGAGUUUGGUCAUCAUUAUGUUUAACUCCAUGUGUAUGAUAUAUGUUGCGAAUGUGUGGGACUUUUCUCAUGUGCGUAUUAAUCAUGUGAGCAUGAAAUAAACAUGACAGAAUUCUCAAUGUUGAAACAGAGCUUCUUAAUUAUUUUAUGACUGAUACAAGAGAAAGGCUUCUACAUUGUACCUGUUUACAUGUUUUACUCAACUAGGUUCCAUGAUGGAAUGUUGAAUGCAAGCAUUUGAUAGCUAAACAAGAUUAUAAUAUUAAAGCAUGGAGGCAAAUUCAAGGACAUCAAACAGGUGAUAUGUACUUCUACAAAUAAUAAAUGCCAUUUUCUUAUUAUGAUGAAUGAAAGUUAAGUUAAUCUGUUGUUCUUAACAUCAGAAUUCAAAUAGCUCACAACACAGUGGAUAGUUAAAAAGUGUAAUCACUAUGUUUGUAAAUAGUAGCUACUGUUGGUACUCCAUUACUGGAAGCAUCUGGUACAUGGAAUGAAAGAAAAAUGACAUUUCAUGCCCUACUGAAGAUGCUAUGCUCCUAGAUAGUUUUGUCAAUGAACACAAAGUGAUGUGCAGUGCAUUUUCAGAUAUUCACUGUGGCAAAACUUCAUUUGUGAAAUAUUGUUGCAAUUUUAGUUUAUUUUGUACACUUAUUAAGAGUCAUAAGGAUGAUUGUUGUUGCUGAUAAAAUUAUAUCAAUGAAAACCCAAAUAUGGGGAUCUUAAUCAUCCAGAUAAUGGGAAAAGAAGGUUAACAGAUAGAGUCAGUAAUCUAUGCACAAUGAAACGUAUGUAAAGAGGAAAUGGUAGUAUUGUUGUGCAUAUUCUCAACAAGUCGGUGUGCCAAAGGUGAGUGAUACAGUGCAAAAAAAUGUAAGCUGCGCUUUCCACUAAUUCCAAGAACAUGUUCAUUCAGUAUUCAGAACACCACUUGGUGACUUCACUAUCCAUAAUCUCAAGCAGAUGUAUGUAUGUAGAGUAGAUCCUCCAUGAAAUCAUUCACAAACAAAGUGAAAAUACAUCUUUACAUCAUGUAGAAGGCAAAACAAUACCACACAUGAUGCUAAAGGUCAAUUUAGGAGAGUGAAAAUACCAAUAGGAAAGGGCAUGAUAUGUGACAUAAGGUAUAUCAGAUGGGAUGUGUGCAUAUUAUUGUCUAAAAUUUCAUGCAUGAGAAGUGCAGAGCAAUACAUCAUCAGAUAGAUAGCAGAUGUAAUUGAUGUUACUAUAUACAUAAAGAACAAAAAUAUACUUCAAACAGACUGAAAGGCCAAGCUCAAUGGUGAAGCAUAUGUACUUUCUUAAUACAUUACCAAACUCCAGUACAGUUAUAUUACCUCAGACAGCAAAAUAAUUUUAAAUAUUGUAAGUUAGGAACUGUACUUGUUCAAAUAUACACAUUACUCACACAAACGCUCAGUUUGAACGGGAAAAACUUUAUAAUGAGACAUUAAAGAGAGUGUAUAAUUACAGGUCAUGGAGCAAUAAUGAUGGAAUAUUUUAGACUAUUUGGCAUGAUGUUUUUGCAGUCAAUGACUUCAGUUUAACACAGUGGGAUAUGAAAUUAACAUGAGAAAACUGUGUCUACUUUUACAACACAAUUAAUAUGAAAGAAAGAACAUCUGCAGUGUUUCCAGAAGUUUCAUCUGCAGUGUUGCUAACACAGUUGGUGACGUAUAUUACUGAUAAUGAAGAUGGUAUAAAAGGAACAAGGAUGAAGCUACUGAUGUAAAUUCUAGUGACUCUAACGUAAUCAUACAGUUAUGUUCUUCAUAUAUGGUAUUUCUGUUUUUAUCUGUUACAGCUAUAUAAGAAGUAAAAUGGUGUUUUGCUAUUUCAGUAAAUAAAAUGUAGGUAUGAAAAAAGAAAACACUUAACUGGGCAGCCACAUAACAGGAAAAAUAAUUAUUUAUUCUUGGGUAAUUAAUUUUAAGUAUCAGUGCAGCCAGUCAUCUAAUACAAGUGAACAUGGCAGUACAAAAAAAAAGUAUCUAAUUAAAUUUAAAUUUAUUUGCUGCUGGCCACUUUUAGUAUCAUAAUCAACCAGCCUAAAAUAAUCCAUGACAACAAUGUAAAUACUUUCAAAGAGAUGGAUAAGCAAUGACAUAUUUAUAGUAGCAAUUCGGAAAAUACUAUCACAAUACUUUAUUGACAACCACACUGCCUAUCUGUGUUCAUCAUUCCACACAUUAUGAAGGUAUUCCUUCCCAUUUGUUCUCUGCAUAUGUGACAUCAUAUAUACAGACAUGCAGAGUCAUUAUCAAUCAUACUUAAUAAUAUUAUCACAUUGCAGCUUUGUGUUACUCUUUGCUGUGGCCUGCUAUGUCAUUGAUUAUCUAUAUAUCUUUUGGUGCAUUCACUCACAUUUACUGAAUUUUUAUUCUGUACAAACAGGUCAUGUUUCAGAUUGCUUUAUAAUAAAGUCAAUGUCAAAACUGGCCAGUAGCAAAAGAAUUUGAAUGAAAUUAACAACUGCCAGUGGAAAAUUAUAAGCUCUAAUUGUUUAUAAAGUCUGUAAGAAAACCACCAAUUAAAGCAACUGAAUAAAAUAACACAUGCAAAUAAGAAUACAAUUAAUUUCUACAGCCCAGUGUUUAGAUGCAAUACAUAAUGACAAAACGUCUGCUACUAACAAAUAAGUGGAGUGGAAAGAAAAUGAAAAUUGAAAAAGAAGAUGGUUCUUAUCUCCUGCCAAUGUAUUUUCUACUGAAUUUUAUGGGCAGUGAAAUUUUUUACCCUUUUUUUCAUUUUAAAGAUAAUGAAAAAUACAAAUACUGACAGACGGAUAUGUCAAUAUGCUGAUUCAAGGAUACAGCAUCACUAAACUCUUAUCAUUGGUGGUCACACUUGGUAAGUAUGAUAAAUAUUUAAAAGAACAUUACACAGAUUUAAAGUACUGUAAAUGAGAGGUCUAGAGGCUCACUCUAACAGAGAUAUGUGAUGUAAGAGUUAGAAAGUCACACUUUUGUGAGACAAUGCAAUGAAACUAUGACCCAACUAAAUCUAUUGUGGCCACUACGCAUUGGCACACUGCAUACAACCAUGUUGUGAAGGCCAUGGAAAUUACUUGGAAACUGAAACGUUUUAUGUCCAACUUAGUACUGUGCUAGCAAUUCUUUAAGCAGGAAAUUACAGUUAUGGGUUGCACUAUCUUUAAGAGUUACCAAUGCUUAUUUUAUUAUCAUAAAUCAUCACUCGAAUUACUGCACCAUUAAUUCCUCUUCUUGAUCCUAAUGAUGACAGCACAUUUUUACUAGUUCUUAAUGUCUUUAGACAUUCCUUUAUCUAGAACCACCCUCUGCAUAUAUGCAUAUAUGUGUGUGUGUGUGUGUGUGUGUGUGUGUGUGUGUGUGUUUAUGUGUGUGUGUGUGUGUGUGUGUGUGUGUGUGUGUGUGUUUUAAUCCCUCACACCCAUUAUGAGAAAAACACAGUUCUUCAUUAUGCACAUUGUAUCUUUAUUGUAUGUCCCAUGCUUUCUGGUACAGAUAACAGGAAAUGAAUAAAACACGAAAAUAAAAAUACAGGAGCCAAGGGCUGGAAGUGGGAAAAAGUUUGUGAGCUUAUACAAAAAUAAUCAGGUUCAAGCAUCCAUGAAGAUAUGCAUAGAAAAAUUAAUGUCAGUGUAAUAAAAAUUAUUGCUUGCAAUACUAAACACCAAUAAUACCUACAAUCUUUUGGCUUAUAACAUCUCUAGAUGACCAAUGAAAUACAAACAAAUCUUACAUCCUGCAGCCUUACAUUAUUUCUUGACUUCAGAUAACAUUCAUCUCCAAAUACAAUUACACAUAGUCCAGCUUUUAACAUAAAAUAUACAGUUUCUUCAAGACUAAAGUCGUAUCUACUUGAAGGUACAGGAAGGCGUCUGAGUAUUAUACUGAAAUAUUUAUUACAUUUUCUUUGUAUUUUAAUAUCAUCAGCAGUAUAGAACAACUAUUUUUUUUAAAAAAAAGGACCAUACACUGUAUUUGGCAAUUAUCUGAUUCCAUACUGAGAGAAAUGUUUAUUAAAAAAAUUAAGUUAAUAACUAUACAUUGAAAAUAUGUGUAUAUAAAAAUUUUAGUACUACUUUUUAUGUACAUUUUUCCUCCUACUAAAAAUAUACACUAAAUGUCUUAUUUCCAACAUCAUAAUUGGCAAUAAUUUUAGUAUCUGCAUAUUCAGUGACUGUUUUUGUCUGAAAUAUAUUUCUCAUUUUUUUCUUUUUUUUUUUUU